CGGAGAAGCGGCGCGCGGCCAGGAGCCCCCGAGCCAGCGCUUGGUGCCUGCCUCCCGCAGCUCUCUGCCAUGUGCCUACCGGGGCAGGGGCGCUUGGAAGGCGACCAGAACUGGGCCUGAGCCUGGGGACUCGCCUGAUCAGGGGAGACAGAGCCGCCGUCGCCGCAGCCGCCCCACCCCCGCCGUCGCCUCGUGGGGCCCUGGCCCCUUUCCGGGGAGGCAGAGUGAAAGCCCCAAUAAAUGCCCAAAGAUGUCACAGAGGCUACAGCUGCUUACCUCUCCCAGCGCUGGACAUUUCUGCUGGGUGCCAUAAUCAAAAGAAUCAGGACCUCGAGAAGCAAGCACCCAGUGGAGGUGGGUAGGGACAGGUAUAAAGUUCUGAGCUUGUCUGACUGGCCAGGGAACCUAUAAGUGUCUUUAGAGAUUUGAAGGGACCAAGAUCUGGACUGACUGACUUAGAGUGCUGGGGCUGGGAUGGCCGCCAGGAGGCCCACGUUAGUUCUGCACAGGAGUUAUGGAAUUAUUAACAGUGUCCUUCCGGAAAAAGGCCUGGGGUCCCUGAUCUGGCUGUUCCUUGUCUCAGGACUCUCAAGUGGGGGCGAUGGGAGAAGCAAGGGUUAUUCUGGUAUGGUCGCGGGCAGGCUCUCAGCGAUGCUCUGUGUCCCUGGAGCAUGUAGGUGUCCUAGCUUACAUUCCUCCAUUUCCGAAGCUCCAUCUCCGAGCGAGCAGAGGGUCCCUUCUGUCCGCGGGCGGGUCAAAGCGGCACACGUGCACACUCUGAGCGCAGACGGAACCUGCGUCUGGUACUCACCCUGGUUUCCCUCCCCUGUCCUGGGCGGAUAUAGUUGAGGCGCGGAGAGCACGCGGAAGUCUCCCUGGGUGCUCGUGACCUGGAGGACACGUGUGUCCCCACCGUCAAGCCAACGCCACCAGACCACGAGGGCACCUACAAAUGGACCCAGGCGCGCUUCUGGGUGGGCGUGGGAGGCGCCUGAUGUCUCUGCUCUGUUUUACAGUUACUCGCCUGCAGGUGCCUCCUGCCCCCGCGCGGUUCCCGCCUGCGCUCGGCUCACUCUUAGCCGGCACGAACUCGCCGUCAGCACCCGCUCCUAGGAGGGCGCGCGGGCGAGGAGAGAUUCAGAAGACAGAGAAAAGAGAAGGAGGAGCACUAUGGCAAGAGUCCACAACAAGUAUACAGACAUCCCUGGAGGGCCGUUCCUGACCAGGUCACAGAAUGUGGGAUCCAGGGAUCUCCUCUGCAUUCUGAGCAGGUCAGACCUUCCUGGCAUGGGAUACCCUGCCUGACUUGGCAGAGGGCAGUGAACCAAGGUCCUUCCCAGCUCCAGGCUCCAUGAUGGCUGCAGAGCUGCCACCAGUUUCUGUGGGGGUUUCCUACUUUGUUACAUGCCAGUAACCCUCCCGUCGUGGCCCUGCCCAGCUCACAGGGAACUCAGCCUGCAUUAUCUCCUUCAAGUUACACUGGGAUGGAGGAGGCACCUUUACCCAGAGGCUACAAAAAUGAAAGCCCACCUCACUGCUGGCAAGUGCCAUGAGACUAACAUGUGAUCUGCCUUGAAACAAGGCUUUGGCCAGAAAGCAUGUCUCAGCUAGGUGUGUUCUCAUUCUCAGCCUCAAAUUGGGAUGUCUUUGCCUUCUCUCCUGGUUCUACAUGCUUUGAAUAGUGUUUGCCGAAGUGACCCUCCAGAUUGUCCUGUGAAGUAAAGUGAUGGUACAGCCUCUUUUCAGUUUUUAUGGAAAUGGAAACAGAGAGGAAUGGUGACUCUUGCCAAGGUCGCAGGAUUGGAAUAUGGAGCCAAACUGCCUCAGGUCAUAGAAGAUCAUCAGAAGGAGAAAAUCUGAGCAGGAAGAGAAGAGUCAGCUACCUCCUGAGGCUGUAAAAGUUGGAGGCAAGAAUGGAGGAAUCCCAGGCAAUCCUGCUUGUCUGGGACUUGGCAAGAGACCUGGGGAAUAUGACCCAACCCUUUUGUGGGGUCUUUGCUUUUGACCUAUUGGCCUAGUUUGUCCUCUACCAUUUCUGCCCUUAUCACAUCCUAUCAGGCCUGUUCACCCUGAAACAUUCUGGCCAGGCCUCUGGCAAAUGAAAGCUCUAUACCAUCUGCAUUUUCACCCCAAAGGACUGGAGGCAGUGUGCUCAGAAGUUGCCAAAGCAGAGGCUCCAGCCUUCUAGGAGUUAAUGACUCCUUCUCCCCAGCUGUCCUCCCUUUGGUGCUCCUCUUCCUCCCUCCUGCUCACAGCAGGCUCGGCCUGGACCCAGGAGCCAUGCUGCUGUGCUGUUGCCAGGGGAGCCCAGAGGCAGAUCUGAGCUAUGCAGGGAAAAGGCCCAGCCUGUCAAAGUGUCUGAGAUGAACCGCCGCUGUCCCUGUGCAGCUGGGCUCAGACUUGUCUCGGCUCUUGUCUGUGCCUGAGAAUGGCGAAGCCCAGUGAGGUUCAAGGGCAAACUCGCUAUUCAUUAGUCAGGGGUUCUUGACGUCCUGUCUCUCCAGGGAUGGGUUCCCCCCUUCCUCUCUCUCUCCCUCCUCUGAUACAUUCCUGGGUGCCUUUGGAGAGGACUACACACCCUCCUCUUGCCCAACCCCCUCUCCAUAGGCCCCUGAAUAAACUCCCCUCAAGGAGACCAGGCAGGAUAGAGACAAUGGCUUCAGGAAAUCAUUCAGGCGAGACCCCAGCCACUCUGGCCUGCCUUCCACUUCCACAGCCCCUGUAGGCACACUCUGCUGUGACUCCGGCCACUCUGGGCCACCAGCCUGCAUAGGCCUGGAUGGGAAGAGACUACUGGGCACUGCCCUAAGGACAACAUUCAGUGCAAUGCCAUUCUCACUGGGCUCCAGGUAUACAUUUAUCUCCCUGGCUGGGUGCUAUAUUUCUGUAACAUUGUGUGUCUAUUUAAAGACACUCUUCAAUACUGUUUUUAGGAAGUGUAUUUUCUAAAAUGUAGCAGUAUCAAAAAAUAAAAGGCAGUGGUGCAGGCCUGUAAUUCCAGCAACUCAGGAAGCUGAGUCAGGAAGAUUGCAAGUUCAAGGCCAGCAUCAGCAACUUCAGAAGACCCCAUCUCAAAAAAUUAAAAAGGGGGCUUUCAUGCACAAGGCCCUGGGUUCAAUCCCCAGCACCAAAAAAAAAAAAAAUAAUAAUAAUAAUAAUAAUUAAAAGGGCUGGGGGUGUAUCUCAGCACUCCUGGAUCUAAUCUUCAGUACUGGGGAAAAAAAUAUAAAAGGCACAUAUACUUGAACACAAAUAUAUUGCACUAUUAGGAAUUUACCUUAUGGGUAUAUUUGUAAAACUUCCCAAAGAGGUAUGUACAAGGGUGUUCAUGGGAUCAUUUCUUCUUUACAGUGUAAAGAAAUAGAAAUAACCAAUGGGUCCUUUCAUACAGUGGAGUACUAUGCAGUUGUAAAAGUCCAUGUGGUAAGAUCUCUAUCGACAGGCCCAUAUGGAAUGUUGGCUAGUAUAUAUUAUAGGGUAAAUAGAAUAAACUGCAGAAUAGGCAAUAGAGUAUGAUCUUAUUUGUGUACAUUUAAAAAUCAGAGGCCAGCCGGGUGUGGUGGUGCACACCUGUAAUUCUAGCAGCUCGGGAGGCUGAGGCAGGGGGAUCGAGAAUUCAAAGCCAGCCUCAGCAACUUAGUGAGGCCCUAAGCAACUCAGUAAGACUCUGUCUCUAAACAAAAUACAAAAAUAGGUUGGGGAUGUGGCUCAGUGGAUAAGUGACCCUGGGUCCAACCCAGUACCAAAAAAAAAAAAAAAAAACCAGGCCAAGCGCAGUGGUGCUUGCCUAUAAAUUCUAGAAACUCCAGAGGUUGAGGCAGGAGGAUUAAUAGUUGGAGGCCAGCCUUAGCAAUUUAGUCAGGCUCUAAGCAACUUAUUGAGACCCUGUCUAAAAAUAAAAAGAUCUGGGGAUGAAGCUCUCAAUGAUAAAGCACCCUUGGGUUUAAUCCCAAUAAUAAUAAAUAAACCCUACAAAAAACAAAAACAAAUCAUAAAUAUGCUUAUAUAUGAGUGGUUUCUGAUAAUAUGUAUUAGAUAACCACCUCUGGGAAGUGGGGAUACAGGGAUGCAUUCUUCUGUACAAUAAUAUUUUCUUUUCAUGUUUGUAAAAUACUUUUCUUGAAAAAUAUAGGGACUAUUUAAUAGGCUUAACUUCUAUCAACAAACUUGGAAUAGGAACUUAAGAUGAUAGUGGUGAUGUUGCAGGAAAAAAUAUUCCAGAAUCACUGGCAACAUUAGCUACUAUACUUUUCUGAGCCUAAUGAUCACAUCAGCAUGGCUCUAUUAAUCAUAAAAUCUAGUAAGUGCCAGGGUGUUUCUCUUGGUCUUGUUUAGAUGUGGGUAUCAUGUUUUCAAUUCACCCCGUGGGAAAGGUUGGUUGAUUUGCCCAAAAUCCUGGGCAGGUAGGGGUAGGAGUCAGGAAUCUGAUGGGGGCUCAGGAAGGGUGGUGUAGGCUCUCAGCCAUUGCCCCUCCAUCCUCAGGAGACUGACCCCUGGGGUGCCACCCCAGGGUGGCACCACAUGGACCUCAGUGAGUGGAAGAUGUCUCCAUCCUACUGCAGCCCAAAGGAGGACAGACCAACUGGGGCUGGCAGCAAAUGGAUGGGAUUCUGAAAGGUACCAUUUGCAAAAAGAGCAUGUGUCCUGAGAGAAAAAGCACCCUUUGUAUUGCCCACCCCAGCAUCAAUCACCCCUGCUUCACUUCCCCUCCCCCAGCCAAAGAGUAAAUUGCCGGGAAAGUGUUGCCUGUGACAGGGCACAGGAGUUCCCAAAGCCAGAAACGUUGGUGUCCUGCCACAGGUCGGGACACAGCAGCUCACAUAGCACUCUUCACUGGGCCCUGGAUAGCCGGGAGGAGGUGCUGGGGAGGUGCAGUCCUAGAGGGGCUUGGGAAACCCAUGGGAGUCUAGGUAGUCCCAGAUCAGCUGCCAGCAAGCAGAGUGAGGAGAAAGGAAAUAUUAAGAGCAACUGCUGUGGGCUAGGUUGUCAGGUGCCAGGUCACUGUGCUUUGGCCCAAUGAGUUUUCUUUAAUUUUAUGGGCUGUGGGUGCCAUUAGUACAUUCAUUUUACAGAUGAAGACACUGAGGAUCAGAAAAGUUAUGGUCCUUAGUCACACAGCUAAAAAUUGCCAGAAAUGAGAUUCAAAAUCAAGACUAAAUGACUCUAAACUAUACUCCUAACCCCAAAGAAAUCCUGUCAUUUAAAAAAGGUCCCCAAAGCUGUACUUUCUCCUGGCCAGUAUCCACUUGAAAAGACAUCAACCUUUGCCUGCAAGGCCACCUCAAAUACUCCCUUGCCUGGGGUCUUCCUCAAUUCCACCUAAUGCCAUCUCUCUUCUUGGGGUGUGCUAAGCCUUGGAGACUGGGCACUGGGGCGGAUUCCAGACCCUCAUUCAGAUUGGGGCUGUUGGUUAAUAUUGCUCUUAAGUGCUGCUGCUGCCCAGUCUCCUGGCUCCUGGUCUUCUAUACUCCCGUAGACUUUGCUUCUUCCUUGAGGUCCUUGACCUAAAGGAGCCUCUUAGGAAGGUGAGGAGGCUCCCAGGAUGGCCCCACUGCUUCUCAGAGGCUAGUCCAAUGAUAAGAGGGAGUGGGGGGGUGGGUCUUGAGAAGCUGAUACUGGAAAGCAGAGAUGGUCCCCAUGUGCUUGAGUUUCUAGGACUCUUACAAGACCAUUGGGUCCAUCUGAAUUGUCCUGAGAGAGCACUAGGGCAAAUUAUGGGAAAGAAGCCUCUUCCUGUCCUGUGAACCCUCUGGCUUUCUUGCACCAGUCCAUGGAGAAUAAAGUUUCUUUGCAAAGCC
Molecule: long non-coding RNA, 5798 nt
Organism: Marmota monax (woodchuck)
Lineage: Eukaryota; Metazoa; Chordata; Mammalia; Rodentia; Sciuridae
Exons: 6
Source: RefSeq, a predicted model, not a curated record